This 119-nucleotide ribosomal RNA is filed under the name Campylobacter sp. The record is from RNAcentral. Lineage: Bacteria; Pseudomonadati; Campylobacterota; Epsilonproteobacteria; Campylobacterales; Campylobacteraceae.
GUCCGUGACUAUACAGAUGAGGAAACGCCUUGCUCCAUACCGAACCAAGAAGCUAAGCUCAUCAUGGCUGAUGAUACUCUCCGUUACUCGGAUGUCGGGAUAGUAGGUCGUUGCGGACU